CAGUAGCCGCGGUAAUACGUAGGUCCCGAGCGUUGUCCGGAUUUAUUGGGCGUAAAGGGAGCGCAGGCGGUUUAGUAAGUCAGAAGUUAAAGGCAUUGGCUCAACCAAUGUAUGCUUUGGAAACUGUUAGACUUGAGUGCAGAAGGGGAGAGUGGAAUUCCAUGUGUAGCGGUGAAAUGCGUAGAUAUAUGGAGGAACACCGGUGGCGAAAGCGGCUCUCUGGUCUGUCACUGACGCUGAGGCUCGAAAGCGUGGGUAGCGAACAGGAUUAGAUACCCCAGUAGUCCCUGUCUCUUAUACA
RNAcentral lists this ribosomal RNA (301 nucleotides) under uncultured bacterium. RNAcentral's name for it is "partial 16S ribosomal RNA". It matches the Rfam family "Bacterial small subunit ribosomal RNA", at positions 509 to 808 of the family's 1533-position model. The record is from RNAcentral.